CCUAUCUAGAGUGUGUCUAUUCCUCCCAACUUCUGGCCUUUCUUCCCAGUCAUGUUUCUACAGUAAUUAAUUUUACUUAAUGGAAAUUUCACUGUUCAACUUUGUCAAGCCAAAAAGAAAAACAAACAAACAAAAACCCUGGAGUCAAUCUCAUAUCCUUUCUCUCAAACCUUUAGAUAAAAUCCAAUGGGAAACCCUGGUAACUUUACCUCCAUAAAAUAUCUGGAAGCCAACCAGUUCCCCAGUUUCCUCUCCUUCUGCUGCUCCUACCCUGCUGCGUGACUAAUCUCUCUCAUCUUUAAUUUUGAGCGUCAACUCAAAGAAUUCCCUCCCUUUCUACACUUUUUGUCAACAUGGUAGACAGAUAAUGUUUUAAAAAGUUAUUAUAUAUUUUCUCAGUAUCCUGCAUCAUCUCCCAUUUAAUUCAGCAAUUCUACAGACAAUGCCUGGCAGCCAUAAGAUCUCUCACAAUCCAAUUUGACCUUACCUUUCCUCUUUUCCCCUUACCGACUCUAAUAUCUCACUAUUACAGAAUUCCUUCACAUUCAAAGGCCCUGGAUAUUUUUGCCUCACAGUAUUUGUUCUAAUAACCACUUUGACUUCAGUCUUUUUUUGUUUGUUUGUUUGUUUUGUUUUUAAAUUUUCUAAUUGGAGAUGAACACAAUAACUUCAUUUUAUUUAUUUUUAUGUGGUGCUGAGGAUUGAACCCAAGUGCCUCACACAUGCAAGUGCUCAUGGCAAGUGCUCUACCACUGAGCCACAACACAGACCCUUGACUUCACUUUUAUCAAAUGCUUAUUUUCUUUAAGUCUUCAAUCAAAUUUCACCUUCUUGAUGAAACCUACCUGCCCUGGCCAUCCAAGCAUACUGCCAUCUCUUCACCCUCACUCCUGGCAUUCCAGAUUUACCUUAUCCUGUUGAAUUCUUCAGCCAUUUUCCAUGUCAUUUAUUUUUUAACAUGCUCUCUAUACUUUAUUCCUUUACUGUGCUUUGUACUUUUCCCCGUCUCUGCCCAAAUACACUAAAAGCUCAUUGAGGACAGGGAUUGUUGUUAGUUUUCUCCAUGGAUGUGUAUGUCUCAGGCAACUGUAUGUUUACGUAGCAAGAAGAAGGAGUUCAGGAAAAUAGUGUGGAAAUAAUGAACUAAGUGAAAGAGUACUCAAGGAAACUGAUUAAAGUAGAAUAGCAAACACAGCUUGGAGGCUCUAGAGUGCCUUCCAGAAGCAUGAUCAAAGAGGCACUCACAAUAAUAGAGAAACUGGUGUUAUCUCCCACCAUUAGCCAUGACUUCAACUAAAACAAUGACAACAUGAACAAAUCUAACACCAUGACUUUCUUUGAGAAUUCACAAGAUAGACAUAGAAAGAAUACUGAGUCAUCCUGGCCAAGAUCAAGUAGGUAGAUCUUAAGUUAUUUAAUCAUUCUCAUAAAUGGGGUUCUCAUAAAAUGGAGAUACUCCUGGGUGUAAUGGGAGGGGACAUUUUUAAGAUUAAAUGGAAUAACAGACUAAAAGCGUCCAGCAUACAGAUGCACUUUAACACAAUCAAACUUUAUUCCUCUGUGCAUUCUUUGACUUCAUAUAUUUUCACACCACCAAGGGGCUGGAUCUGUAUGUAUUAGUGACAUCAUCUGAGAUGGGCCAUCCCUUCUAUCUAUUGAGGAAAAUUUUUCAGACAAUCUCCCUCAUCUAAAUUCCAUAAUAGAGCCAGAAGAGGUUCUUGAAAUAUAAGUCAGAGACCCCACCUCUAGGAUCAUUUUUUUAAUUUGGAAUUUUGAGCUUCCUGGUGUGUACUGGAUCAAAACCUAUAGUAAAUACUUCACUUUGAUCUCCAUUGAUUUCUCUCAGUUUUCAUUCUAUGAUGUCUCCCCCAAAUUCAUACCAUCCAAAUAACACACAUCUUUCUAACUCUUGCAUAUCCUGAAAAUGUAUUUCCUACAUUUUGCUAAAAAUUUAAGUAACUUGGGAAAUGACCCAAGUUUAGUGUUCCUUUAUGAUGGCUUGUCUCAGAGAAGCCUGCAUUAUUUUGGGGACUUUAUUCCAUGUUUCAGAGUUGAAACUAAUAUUUUCUUAGUGAGUCCCAACUCCAUUCUCGGUUGGAAUCCAUCUAAGAUCAAAAUUUUACCUAUAUCCUAAAGAAUAUCUCAACAUCU
This 2151-nucleotide long non-coding RNA is filed under the name Marmota monax (woodchuck). Lineage: Eukaryota; Metazoa; Chordata; Mammalia; Rodentia; Sciuridae. The record is from RNAcentral.